CAGGGAUUGCCUCAGUAACGGCGAGUGAAGCGGCAACAGCUCAAAUUUUAAAGCCGGCGUCCUCGACGCCCGCGUUGUAAUUUGGAGAGGCAUCUUCGGUUUGGGCGCCAGCCUAUGUUCCUUGGAACAGGACGUCACAGAGGGUGAGAAUCCCGUGCUUGGCUGGCUGUCCCUCUCCAUGUGAAGUGUCUUCGACGAGUCGAGUUGUUUGGGAAUGCAGCUCAAAAUGGGUGGUAAAUUUCAUCUAAAGCUAAAUAUUGGCGGGAGACCGAUAGCGCACAAGUAGAGUGAUCGAAAGAUGAAAAGCACUUUGAAAAUAGAGUUAAAAAGUACGUGAAAUUGUUGAAAGGGAAGCGCUUGAGACCAGACUCGGUCGGGGACGAUCAGCGGCCCUUCUGGGCCGUGCACUCGUCCUCGGUUCGGGCCAGCAUCGGUUGAGGCGGCGGGAUAAAGGCCCGGGGAAUGUGGCUCCUCUCGGGGAGUGUUAUAGCCUCGGGCGCAAUGCCGCCAGCCUCGACCGAGGACCGCGCUCUUUUGCUAGGAUGCUGGCGUAAUGGUCUUCAGCGACCCGUCUUGAAACACGGACCAAGGAGUCUAACAUCUAUGCGAGUGUUUGGGUGUCAAACCCUUGCGCGUAAUGAAAGUGAACGGAGGUGGGAACCCCUCCUCUGGGGGGGCGCACCAUCGACCGAUCCUGAUGUCUUCGGAUGGAUUUGAGUAGGAGCAUAGCUGUUGGGACCCGAAAGAUGGUGAACUAUGCCUGAAUAGGGUGAAGCCAGAGGAAACUCUGGUGGAGGCUCGCAGCGGUUCUGACGUGCAAAUCGAUCGUCAAAUUUGGGUAUAGGGGCGAAAGACUAAUCGAACC
This 865-nucleotide ribosomal RNA is filed under the name Discina ancilis. RNAcentral's name for it is "partial large subunit ribosomal RNA". It matches the Rfam family "Eukaryotic large subunit ribosomal RNA", at positions 69 to 941 of the family's 3401-position model. The record is from RNAcentral. Lineage: Eukaryota; Fungi; Ascomycota; Pezizomycetes; Pezizales; Discinaceae. RNAcentral also lists the same sequence under 1 other name.